GACGAACGCUGGCGGCGUGCUUAACACAUGCAAGUCGAACGAUGAAGCUAGAGCUUGCUCUGGUGAAUUAGUGGCGAACGGGUGAGUAACACGUGAGUAACCUGCCCCGAACUCUGGGAUAACUGCUGGAAACGGUAGCUAAUACUGGAUACGACCUACGAAGGCGUCUUCUGUAGGUGGAAAGAAUUUCGGUUCGGGAUGGACUCGCGGCCUAUCAGCUUGUUGGUGAGGUAAUGGCUCACCAAGGCGACGACGGGUAGCCGGCCUGAGAGGGUGACCGGCCACACUGGGACUGAGACACGGCCCAGACUCCUACGGGAGGCAGCAGUGGGGAAUAUUGCACAAUGGGCGCAAGCCUGAUGCAGCAACGCCGCGUGAGGGAUGACGGCC
RNAcentral lists this ribosomal RNA (390 nucleotides) under uncultured bacterium. RNAcentral describes it as "bacterial SSU rRNA". It matches the Rfam family "Bacterial small subunit ribosomal RNA", at positions 28 to 416 of the family's 1533-position model. The record is from RNAcentral.